Molecule: ribosomal RNA, 267 nt
Filed under: uncultured bacterium
Lineage: Bacteria
Description: partial 16S ribosomal RNA
Rfam family: Bacterial small subunit ribosomal RNA
Source: RNAcentral
UUAAGUGGCGGACGGGUGAGUAACGGCGUGGGUAACCUGCCGUAAUACAGGGGGAUAACACUUAGAAAUAGGUGCUAAAACCGCAUAAGCGCACAGGCGCCCGCAUGGCGCAGUGUGAAAAACUCCGGUGGUAUACGAUGGACCCGCGUCUGAUUAGCCAGUUGGCAGGGUAACGGCCUACCAAAGCGACGAUCAGUAGCCGGCCUGAGAGGGUGGACGGCCACAUUGGGACUGAGACACGGCCCAAACUCCUACGGAAGGCAGCAG